ACACUUGUUUAAUGACUUUGGAUAUCAAUUGUCUGGAGGCUUUUUCCCCCGAAAAUAUUGCAGAAUUUAAUGACAAAUCUCUUUGGACGUGAUCCGCCAAACGUGUAUGCUGUAAGAACAAUAAAAUAUUGGAAAUUAUUGAAAUCGUAAAAGAUUGAAUAGCUUCAUUGACUUAAGAUCAAAUUAAAUGGAGCCUAAAAGAUUGAAGCAUUCGUGUGAUUUUCGGUACUUAUAGACAAAAAGUUUAUGUACCAACCCCCGAAGUUGAAAACGUCUUUUUUCGGUUAGGUUUUUGAACCUCUGUGAUAAUAUUAUAUAAGUAUAUUUUAUUUUACGUCGAGAUGGCGCAAUGGUUGUAAGUUUAAGUAGAACCCAAGUACAGAUAUUUUGAAGAAAGUGAAAAAACAACAGUUCUAAGAUAAAAUAAAAGCGAGAAACCGUAGUCAUGUGAUACAAACUGAAUAAUGCAAUAUUUCUGUUAUACAUACUUGAUAAUAAUUUGGUGAUGGCGGAUACAAUCAAUAAAAUUAUUUUUAAAGAUAGAAAAACCAUACAUCCAAAGUUGACUGAUAUUGUCGUAACGUACAAAAAAACAAGAAAUAUGGAUUGCACUAAAUACACAAUUCCAUAUACUUUGAGUGUCUCAAUUUUGAUUAUCUGAAAUAAACCACAU
This is a long non-coding RNA of Sipha flava (yellow sugarcane aphid), 673 nucleotides long. RefSeq lists it as uncharacterized. Lineage: Eukaryota; Metazoa; Arthropoda; Insecta; Hemiptera; Aphididae. The transcript is spliced from 4 exons. The record is from RefSeq and is a predicted model, not a curated record.